This 1534-nucleotide ribosomal RNA is filed under the name Escherichia coli. RNAcentral describes it as "bacterial SSU rRNA". It matches the Rfam family "Bacterial small subunit ribosomal RNA". The record is from RNAcentral. Lineage: Bacteria; Pseudomonadati; Pseudomonadota; Gammaproteobacteria; Enterobacterales; Enterobacteriaceae.
UUGAAGAGUUUGAUCAUGGCUCAGAUUGAACGCUGGCGGCAGGCCUAACACAUGCAAGUCGAACGGUAACAGGAAACAGCUUGCUGUUUCGCUGACGAGUGGCGGACGGGUGAGUAAUGUCUGGGAAACUGCCUGAUGGAGGGGGAUAACUACUGGAAACGGUAGCUAAUACCGCAUAACGUCGCAAGACCAAAGAGGGGGACCUUAGGGCCUCUUGCCAUCGGAUGUGCCCAGAUGGGAUUAGCUAGUAGGUGGGGUAAAGGCUCACCUAGGCGACGAUCCCUAGCUGGUCUGAGAGGAUGACCAGCCACACUGGAACUGAGACACGGUCCAGACUCCUACGGGAGGCAGCAGUGGGGAAUAUUGCACAAUGGGCGCAAGCCUGAUGCAGCCAUGCCGCGUGUAUGAAGAAGGCCUUCGGGUUGUAAAGUACUUUCAGCGGGGAGGAAGGGAGUAAAGUUAAUACCUUUGCUCAUUGACGUUACCCGCAGAAGAAGCACCGGCUAACUCCGUGCCAGCAGCCGCGGUAAUACGGAGGGUGCAAGCGUUAAUCGGAAUUACUGGGCGUAAAGCGCACGCAGGCGGUUUGUUAAGUCAGAUGUGAAAUCCCCGGGCUCAACCUGGGAACUGCAUCUGAUACUGGCAAGCUUGAGUCUCGUAGAGGGGGGUAGAAUUCCAGGUGUAGCGGUGAAAUGCGUAGAGAUCUGGAGGAAUACCGGUGGCGAAGGCGGCCCCCUGGACGAAGACUGACGCUCAGGUGCGAAAGCGUGGGGAGCAAACAGGAUUAGAUACCCUGGUAGUCCACGCCGUAAACGAUGUCGACUUGGAGGUUGUGCCCUUGAGGCGUGGCUUCCGGAGCUAACGCGUUAAGUCGACCGCCUGGGGAGUACGGCCGCAAGGUUAAAACUCAAAUGAAUUGACGGGGCCCGCACAAGCGGUGGAGCAUGUGGUUUAAUUCGAUGCAACGCGAAGAACCUUACGGUCUUGACAUCCACGGAAGUUUUCAGAGAUGAGAAUGUGCCUUCGGGAACCGUGAGACAGGUGCUGCAUGGCUGUCGUCAGCUCGUGUUGUGAAAUGUUGGGUUAAGUCCCGCAACGAGCGCAACCCUUAUCCUUUGUUGCCAGCGGUCCGGCCGGGAACUCAAAGGAGACUGCCAGUGAUAAACUGGAGGAAGGUGGGGAUGACGUCAAGUCAUCAUGGCCCUUACGACCAGGGCUACACACGUGCUACAAUGGCGCAUACAAAGAGAAGCGACCUCGCGAGAGCAAGCGGACCUCAUAAAGUGCGUCGUAGUCCGGAUUGGAGUCUGCAACUCGACUCCAUGAAGUCGGAAUCGCUAGUAAUCGUGGAUCAGAAUGCCACGGUGAAUACGUUCCCGGCCUUGUACACACCGCCCGUCACACCAUGGGAGUGGGUUGCAAAAGAAGUAGGUAGCUUAACCUUCGGGAGGGCGCUUACCACUUUGUGAUUCAUGACUGGGGUGAAGUCGUAACAAGGUAACCGUAGGGGAACCUGCGGUUGGAUCACCUCCUU